GGGUGCGAUCAUACCAGCACUAAUGCACCGGAUCCAAUCAGAAAUCCACAGUUAAGCGUGCUUCGGCGAGAGUAGUACUAAGAUGGGUGACCUCCUGGGAAUCCUCGUGUUGCACUCC
RNAcentral lists this ribosomal RNA (118 nucleotides) under Beta vulgaris subsp. vulgaris (sugar beet). The record is from RNAcentral. Lineage: Eukaryota; Viridiplantae; Streptophyta; Magnoliopsida; Caryophyllales; Amaranthaceae.